GAUGAAGAACGUAGCGAAAUGCGAUACGUAAUGUGAAUUGCAGAAUUCAGUGAAUCAUCGAAUCUUUGAACGCAUAUUGCGCUCUCUGGUAUUCCGGAGAGCAUGCUUGUUUGAGUAUCAGUAAACACCUCAACUUCCAUAUCUUUUUUUGAAAUGGGAGUUGGACUUGAGUGAUCCCAACGCUUUUCCUCACCGAAAAGUGGCGGGUUACUUGAAAUGCAGGUGCAGCUGGACUUUUCUCUGAGCUAUAAGCAUAUCUACUUAGUCUGCCUAAAAAACAGAUUAUUACCUUUGCUGCAGCUAACAUAAAGGAGAUUAGUUCUUGUGCUGACUGAUGCAGGAUUCACAAAGACAGCUUCGGCCGACUUUGUAAACUCGAUCUCAAAUCAAGUAAGACUACCCGCUGAACUUAAGCAUAUCAAUAAGCGGAGGA
This 433-nucleotide unclassified non-coding RNA is filed under the name soil metagenome. RNAcentral's name for it is "partial contains 5.8S ribosomal RNA, internal transcribed spacer 2, and large subunit ribosomal RNA". The stretch from base 1 to 120 matches the Rfam family "5.8S ribosomal RNA", at positions 35 to 154 of the family's 154-position model. The record is from RNAcentral.